Molecule: ribosomal RNA, 253 nt
Filed under: uncultured bacterium
Lineage: Bacteria
Description: partial 16S ribosomal RNA
Rfam family: Bacterial small subunit ribosomal RNA
Source: RNAcentral
UACGGAGGGUGCAAGCGUUGCUCGGAAUUAUUGGGCGUAAAGGGUAGGUAGGUGGUCUUAUUUGUCUGGGGUGAAAGCCUUGAGCUUAACUCAAGAAGUGCCUCAGAAACGGUGAGACUAGAGUCCUGGAGAGGGUCGUGGAAUUCCCGGUGUAGCGGUGAAAUGCGUAGAGAUCGGGAGGAACACCAGAGGCGAAGGCGGCAUCCUGGACUGGUCCUGACACUCAGGAGCGAAAGCGUGGGGAGCGAUCCGG